This 423-nucleotide ribosomal RNA is filed under the name uncultured bacterium. Its description in RNAcentral is "bacterial SSU rRNA". It matches the Rfam family "Bacterial small subunit ribosomal RNA", at positions 362 to 776 of the family's 1533-position model. The record is from RNAcentral.
UCUUCCGCAAUGGACGAAAGUCUGACGGAGCAACGCCGCGUGAGUGAUGAAGGCUUUCGGGUCGUAAAACUCUGUUGUUAGGGAAGAACAAGUGCUAGUUGAAUAAGCUGGCACCUUGACGGUACCUAACCAGAAAGCCACGGCUAACUACGUGCCAGCAGCCGCGGUAAUACGUAGGUGGCAAGCGUUAUCCGGAAUUAUUGGGCGUAAAGCGCGAGCAGGUGGUUUCUUAAGUCUGAUGUGAAAGGCAACGGCUCAACCGUGGAGGGUGAUUGGAAACUGGGAGCCUUGAGUGCAGAAGAGGAAAGUGGAAUUCGAUGUGUAGCGGUGAAAUGCGUAGAGAUAUGGAGGAACACCAGUGGCGAAGGCGAAUUUCUGGUCUGUAACUGACACUGAGGCGCGAGAGCGUGGGGAGCAAACAGG